UUAAAUUGAAGAGUUUGAUCAUGGCUCAGAUUGAACGCUGGCGGCAGGCCUAACACAUGCAAGUCGAACGGUAACAGGAAGCAGCUUGCUGUUUCGCUGACGAG
Molecule: ribosomal RNA, 104 nt
Filed under: Shigella flexneri
Lineage: Bacteria; Pseudomonadati; Pseudomonadota; Gammaproteobacteria; Enterobacterales; Enterobacteriaceae
Also listed under: 1 other name
Description: partial 16S ribosomal RNA
Rfam family: Bacterial small subunit ribosomal RNA
Source: RNAcentral